Molecule: ribosomal RNA, 484 nt
Filed under: uncultured bacterium
Lineage: Bacteria
Description: partial 16S ribosomal RNA
Rfam family: Bacterial small subunit ribosomal RNA
Source: RNAcentral
AUUGAACGCUGGCGGAAUGCUUUACACAUGCAAGUCGAACGGCAGCACGGGGGCAGCCCUGGUGGCGAGUGGCGAACGGGUGAGUAAUACAUCGGAACGUGCCCGGUCGUGGGGGAUAACGUAGCGAAAGUUACGCUAAUACCGCAUACGAUCUGAGGAUGAAAGCGGGGGACCUUCGGGCCUCGCGCGAUCGGAGCGGCCGAUGUCAGAUUAGGUAGUUGGUGGGGUAAAGGCCUACCAAGCCGACGAUCUGUAGCUGGUCUGAGAGGACGACCAGCCACACCGGGACUGAGACACGGCCCAGACUCCUACGGGAGGCAGCAGUGGGGAAUUUUGGACAAUGGGCGCAAGCCUGAUCCAGCCAUUCCGCGUGCAGGACGAAGGCCUUCGGGUUGUAAACUGCUUCUGUAAGGAACGAAAAGGCUCUGGCUAAUACCUGGGGCUCAUGACGGUACCGUAAGAAUAAGCACCGGCUAACUACGUG